GGUUCGCUGGUGUAGUUGGUUAUCACGUUCGCCUCACAUCGUGACCGCGAAAGGUCGCCGGUUCGAGCCCGGCGUGAACCA
This is a non-coding RNA of Exidia glandulosa HHB12029, 81 nucleotides long. The record is from the annotation of a GenBank genome assembly. NCBI's taxonomy places the organism in Eukaryota, Fungi, Basidiomycota, Agaricomycetes, Auriculariales, Exidiaceae.